GCUUCCGCGCUCUUUGAAAUGUCCGGCGCCGGAAUGUCUGGGUGCUUUGGUUGGAGAGGGUCCCAUUUCCAGUCAUUCUUCAGCCUGGUGAUUCCCGCGCUCCCCUGAGGAGCAUAUGAAGUACGUCGGUUCUGCCAGGUUGGAACGCGCUGCUGGACACUCGGCCGUAAGGCGGAUCCCGGAUCCCCUCCCACUCCGACCCUUCCCUCCAGAAGGGCCGGUUCCCAAACGGCCCCUUUAGACACAUCCAAGCGGUUGCCGACGGCCCUCACGAUGAAAACUGCUGUCCGUUGGUGAAGGCAGCCUCUUCUGUGCUCCUCGCCGCUGACUUCCUGAGGCGGACCUACCUGUGGAGGCAUACCAGGAACCAGACGAUGACCCCCUCCAAAAGUUGGGUCUUUGAGGAGAGCUACUAACUUGGGUUCCUGGUACACCCUCUACAUGCAGUGGUGAAGCUUAUCUAACAGUCAUUCAUAGAAUCAGUUUGGGAAGGGGAAUUUUCACUGAACUCUCAUAGAGAAACUGUGUUUUAGAUAACAGAAAGUUCUGCACGGUUAAAAUGGAACAGAAAUUUUUUUGCACAGAAAUUAGGAUUACCGAAAAUACUGAAGAAAGACUACCUCUGAUUGGACUCUUCUCAAGGAAUUAAUAAUUCAAGAACUAAGGAAAGAAAAAAGUGAUUAUAUGAAAAUACUGAAGUUGAUCGUAGCAGCUGAAGGCUGAUCCUGUGUGGGUAAAUGUAAACGCUGAAUUCCCACAUUCCAAUGUGCGACCUGGGAUUAAGGCAGCAAUUGAGCAGGGCUGAAGUACAUUGGUGCAAUCUUGGCUCACUGCAUCUCCACCCCAGGUUCAAGCGAUUCUCCUGCCUCAGCCUCCCAAGCAGCUGGGAUUACAGAAUGUCACAUAAAUGGAAUCAUACUGUGUCCGGAAUUGGUGGGUUCUUGGUCUCACUGACUUCAAGAAUGACGCCAUGGGCCCUCGCGGUGAGUGUUACAGCUCUUAAGGUGGCGCGUCUGGAGUUUGUUCCUUCUGAUGUUCGGAUGUGUUCGGAGUUUCUUCCUUCUGGUGGGUUCGUGGUCUCGCUGGCUCAGGAGUGAAGCUGCAGACUUUCGCGGGCUGGCCGACUGCUCCGAGUGCGGGGCCGCCAAGCCCACGCCCACCCGGAACUCCAGCUGGCCCGCAAGCGCCUCACGCAGCCCCGGUUCCCGCUCGCGCCUCUCCCUCCACACCUCCCUGCAAGCUGAGGGAGUGGGCUCCAGCCUUGGCCAGCCCAGAAAGGGGCUCCCACAGUGCAGUGGUGGGCUGAAGGGCUCCUCAAGUGCCGCCAAACUGGGAGCCCAGGCAGAGGAGGUGCCGAGAGCAAGCGAGGGCUCUGAGGACUGCCAGCACGCUGUCACCUCUCAAUACAAUUUCAUCUCUCUCUCUGCUAUGGACACAGAUGGCUUCACUCCAUCCUGUAUUCUUCGGACCAUGAUAAAAUUCCAGACUCUCGGUAGUUUUUGCGUUCCAAGAAGUAGAGCCUAGAGUGGUGGCCUAUAAUUACAGUUACUCAGGAGGCUGAGGCAGGAGGAUCCUUUGAGUCCAGCAGUUUGAGGCCAGCCUGGACACCACAGCAAGACCACCAAUAAAUAAAUAAAUAAAUGGAACAU
Molecule: long non-coding RNA, 1649 nt
Filed under: Homo sapiens (human)
Lineage: Eukaryota; Metazoa; Chordata; Mammalia; Primates; Hominidae
Description: non-protein coding UBL7-AS1:20
Source: RNAcentral